AUGAGGCGGCCAGAUGCGCUCAAAUCCGGCAGCCCGACUGGACAACUACACGGCCGAGACAAAGGCCGGGGUCGUAGGAGUGGAAGUGAGCGGCGGGAGGAUGAGGGAGUGCGCAGGCCAGGGGGUGGCCAAGAAAAUGGCAGCCGCGGCGAUAGAGGGGUAGGGUUUGAAGGGUUUGGGGGCUGGCUGGGGGAAGGGAUAAAAAGGGCACCUGUAUCCCUGACGGGCGGUCCAGGGAAGGACAUGGGCACACGUCGCGCCUGCCCGUAUGUGUCCGUUUCGACACAAACGCGGCCCAAAGUUGGGCCGGGAAUGGUUCAAAAGUGGACGAAAAACGGACGUUCGUCCGUUUGCUGCGUUUUGUGUCUGUUUACCCCAAAAUGGACGCGGCCGUACGAUUUGGGGCCGUGCACUGGAGUUUCCCUAAGGGCAUCUUGA
Molecule: ribosomal RNA, 438 nt
Filed under: Triticum aestivum (bread wheat)
Lineage: Eukaryota; Viridiplantae; Streptophyta; Magnoliopsida; Poales; Poaceae
Description: partial small subunit ribosomal RNA
Source: RNAcentral